AGAGUUGUUUGCUAAGAUCAAACUCACCAGUUUGGGAGCACGUUUUUCAAGCUCCCUUCUGAUUCUUCCUUUCUGUGGGGUUUUAAUUUUCCAUGGGGUUUUACUUCUCAUCAUCCUAACCUAAAAAUAAAUUGAAAACUAAACUAAUAUUAUUGUGGUUAAAGCAAUUUUCAACUAUCAUAACAACUACUACAAUGGCUUAAUCACAAAUUAGCUGGAACCCUAGAAACAAAAAAUAGCAAGAGAACAGUAUGAAUUUAAGCUUUCACUUACCAAUAGAGGAACAGAGAAGAUAUGAAGAAUUGGUGAAGGGAAGAUACGAAGAAGAAAGGGAAGAUACAACUAUGCCUAUUCAAAUAUUAGGGUUAUUAGCAGGGGUGGGCAUCCGGUACUUCAGUUCGGUAUUUAAGAAUUUCGGUUCGGUAUUCGGUUUAUCAAUUGUGUAUACCAAAUACCGUACCAAAGUAUUUCGGUACGGUACGGUAUUUCUUAUUUUGGUUCGGUAUGGUUUCGGUACGGUUUAAUACAUAUUCAUGUGCCACGUACUGCUAAGCGCUGAGAGCAUAAGCAUUAACCAAGCAGAAACAACCACUAACGAGUAACGAGUAAACAAUCAGCCAUUCCCCAUUCUGCCUAACUAAAUAAACAAUCUGCUAUUCUGCCUAACAAAUAAACAAUCUGCCAUGUGUUAAUCUAAACAUAAGUGGAACUGUAAUACAAUGCAACAAAAACAGAAUUCCAGUAGCAACCAUAAGUGGAUUUGAGACAGUUGCUUAAACACAGUGCAUUUGAGACAGUUGCUUAAACACAGUGCAACAAAAAUAGAAGUCCAGUAGCAACCACUAACGAGUAGCCCUUCAACAUUAUUACAUCAACAUUAUUACAACAAGCCCUUCAACAUUAUUACAUCAAAAUGUUUUCUUUUCUCCCUGAUUUUAAUAAGAUUUGUGAUAUGGUGGUAUGGAAAUAACAAGUUGUAUAAUAGGAUCGUAUAUCACUAACGGAUACUGAUCCGAAAUUCAGUAAAACCGAACUUUUGAUUACAUUCACUGCUUUUUAAAUUGUGUCAAAGGACGUGUCACUGAUUAUGAAUUAAAUAUACAUUUGUCAAAAUAUCUUUAACCAUAUACAUAAUUAAGAUGAAAAAUAAAUGUUGAUGGCAUAUAUCAUCUUUGUGUCUGGUCACAACCACCUUCUUUUUAACUUCUUAUGCACAAACAAAAUAUAUUAUUAUAUACAAAACAGCCUAAGGAUGAGGUUGGCUUAGACAUAAUCAUGAUUUAAAGGUAUGAAUUGCAAUCUAUAAUGCCUAAAUUAAAGUGGCGAGUAAACAUAUUCCUGUUAAUUAGGUUAGUAAAAUUUUCUUCAACUGAACACAACUGAAUGAAGAAUGGAGAAGUUAUCAACCUGAAUGAAGUUGCGGCGCCGAGGUUGUAGUCGUGAGUUGUAACUCGUGAAUCCGACCGCCGUAGCUACCAAGCAAAGUCGUGAGGGUUUUUUAAAAUUCUUGUCGAGACUAAGCCUCUAAGCCUAAGGGUACGCGAUUAUGGAAUUAGGGGUUUUGGACUUUUGGGGUACGAGCUUAAGGUUAUUGGGCUAAAAAAUAAAAAUAAAAUUGGGCUAUUUCAUUAUUUCGGUGUAUACUGAAAUAUUAAUAACCCAAUACCGUAUACCGUAUCGAAUUACCAAAAUAUCAUAAUUUCUGUAUCGAAAUAAACCGAAAUAUCAAAAAAAUCGAAACCGAAAUACCAAAUUAAUUCAAUUCAAUUCGGAAUUCG
RNAcentral lists this long non-coding RNA (1778 nucleotides) under Nicotiana tabacum (common tobacco). Its description in RNAcentral is "long non-coding RNA (NTAB_LNC014797)". The record is from RNAcentral. Lineage: Eukaryota; Viridiplantae; Streptophyta; Magnoliopsida; Solanales; Solanaceae.